AUGCUCCUCUUCAUCUGAGUGUACGCGUAGCUCACUGUGACAACAGCUCAGCUGCCCCCUGCGUGGCCCUCGCUGACUGCCAGCGCUGCCCACAGAUGGACCAACUUUCACAGCAGUGGUCAGAGGCAAAGGCGAUUUUGGAUCCCCCUGCUAUAGCUAAGGAGGCACAGAGAGGUCGAUCCGUUCGCCCGAAGUCACACAGCUCUUACACGGCAGCCUGGCUUCGUCGCCCGAGCUCUGGUCGGUAGGCAGAAUCCUGUCAUACCUCGGAUUUUGGUGCCUUCAGUCUGAAAAAUACACACAUCCAUUUGGUACCCUAGAGGAACUGGAGAAUUGUCUUCCCCUGAAUGAAGCUGGACCAUUCUGGGAUUUGGAGAAAGGGCCAGGCAGGCAACUCGUGAGCGAGUGAUGUGGAUCUGGUGGGCAGACCGCAGAGGUUGGUGGGGAACUCGAAGGAACCAGGACGCCCGCUGUGAUGUACUGGCCUGGGUGCCCCGCUCAGGGCACUGGCACCCUGGGAGCUGGAGAGAUGCAGCUGGAAGAGCCCGCGCCCGGGGCACGAGGGGUCCCAUGCCAUGUCACGGGCUUGUCCCCAGCUGCCACCGUGCUGAUGGCUUGGCCGCCACUGCUGCUUACUGAGCACACCCGCGUGGGCCCUCGCUGCUGUGCCUUCUGUCGAGGCUCCGGCUCUCUCAUCCCUGAGGGACCCCGGCAUCCCACCUACCCAGGCUCACCAAGACAGGGCCCAUCACCGGUCCUCCGCACUCCUGAGUGUCGCACAGAGCGGGGGUCAGGCCACCUUAGGUUGUUGGGCUAUGGUUUUUGCAGAGUCCUGAGCUCCUGUGAAGAUCUGCUUCUCUCCAGCCUUGGGCUAUCUGCAUUCUUGAACAUCUCCGGGCCCAGAAGGAAAAGAAGAAUGCUGAGCAGCUCAGGGAAUGGCUUGAAUGAAAAGAGCACGUUCCUGGCGGUGGUGACAUCGGUCUGCAAGCAGUCAGCCCGAUAG
Molecule: long non-coding RNA, 1003 nt
Filed under: Canis lupus familiaris (dog)
Lineage: Eukaryota; Metazoa; Chordata; Mammalia; Carnivora; Canidae
Description: lncRNA (ENSCAFG00845012589.1)
Rfam family: Pvt1 oncogene conserved region 5 (bases 253-380)
Source: RNAcentral